RNAcentral lists this ribosomal RNA (498 nucleotides) under uncultured bacterium. RNAcentral's name for it is "partial 16S ribosomal RNA". It matches the Rfam family "Bacterial small subunit ribosomal RNA", at positions 30 to 523 of the family's 1533-position model. The record is from RNAcentral.
AUUGAACGCUGGCGGCAUGCCUUACACAUGCAAGUCGAACGGUAACAGGUCUUCGGAUGCUGACGAGUGGCGAACGGGUGAGUAAUACAUCGGAACGUGCCUAGUAGUGGGGGAUAACUACUCGAAAGAGUGGCUAAUACCGCAUGAGAUCUACGGAUGAAAGCAGGGGAUCGCAAGACCUUGUGCUACUAGAGCGGCCGAUGGCAGAUUAGGUAGUUGGUGGGACAAAAGCUUACCAAGCCGACGAUCUGUAGCUGGUCUGAGAGGAUGAGCAGCCACACUGGGACUGAGAAACGGCCCAGACUCCUACGGGAGGCAGCAGUGGGGAAUUUUGGACAAUGGGCGCAAGCCUGAUCCAGCAAUGCCGCGUGCAGGAUGAAGGCCUUCGGGUUGUAAACUGCUUUUGUACGGAACGAAAAGCCCCGGGUUAAUACCCUGGGGUCAUGACGGUACCGUAAGAAUAAGCACCGGCUAACUACGUGCCAGCCGCCGCCGUAA